Molecule: RNA transcript, 3746 nt
Organism: Toxotes jaculatrix (banded archerfish)
Lineage: Eukaryota; Metazoa; Chordata; Actinopteri; Toxotidae
Gene: chd1l
Gene name: chromodomain helicase DNA binding protein 1-like
Exons: 25
Source: RefSeq, a predicted model, not a curated record
GGAACAACACAGACGGCUCGGGUCACUGGACGUGUCUAAAAGCAAAUUAUUAUCAUAAUAAUAAUUAUUAAACGCGUUAGUCCCGUCGGUCUGGAAAUAUGACAGAGUUCUUGUUAAAGAUAAGAAACAGCGUGGCGGAGAAAAAGAAAGCCCCUGUCGCUCAGGGCGACUUGCAGAAGUGCGGUUUAAGAGGGAUACAGCUGAGACCCUACCAGCUGGACGGAGUGGAGUGGUUAACUCAGUGCCUGAAGAACCAGCAGGGAUGCAUCUUAGGAGAUGAGAUGGGAUUAGGAAAAACCUGUCAGACGAUCUCUCUGCUGCUGUACGUGUCAGGAGCUCUUAAGAAGAAAGGUCCGUUUUUAGUCCUGAGCCCGCUCUCCGUCCUGGAGAACUGGCGAAAAGAGUUGGAAUGCUUCGCCCCGGCUCUGACUGUGCUGUGUUACAAGGGAGACAAAGAGAGACGUGCUGAGAUUCAGAGAAUGGCAGACACACAGGACGUCCACGUUCUUCUCACUACGUAUGAGCUGUGUCUCAAAGAUACCGCGUUCUUAAGACGGUGGAAGUGGAAGGUACUUGUAGUAGACGAGGCUCAUCGACUAAAGAAUCAGAACUCACUCUUGCACAAAACCUUGACAGAGUUUUCAGCAGAGUUCAGAGUCUUGCUGACAGGGACGCCCAUCCAGAACAACCUGCAGGAGCUCUACUCUCUGCUGAGCUUCAUUCAGCCCAGCAUCUUCACCGCUGAUGCAGCGGAAGACUUUAUCAACUCUUACUCAAAUGUUCAAAGUCAGCCUGCUCUUGCUGCUGAGCUGCAGAGCGUCCUGGAGCCUUUCCUGCUCCGUAGAGUCAAGUCAGAGGUGGCUGGAGAUCUGCCCAAGAAGACCGAGCUGGUGGUGUACCACGGCCUGGUGGCUCUGCAGAAGAAAUACUACAAAGCCAUUCUGAUGAAGGAUCUGGAGGCUUUUGGAAAUGAACAAGGCAACAAGACCCGGCUGCUGAACACCUUGAUGAACCUUAGAAAGUGCGUCAACCAUCCAUACCUGUUUGAUGGGGUGGAACCAGAGCCCUUUGAGAUGGGGGAGCAUCUCAUUGAAGCCAGUGGGAAGCUUCGCCUUCUCGACAGCUUGCUGAGCUCCCUGCACAAGGGGGGCCAUCGGAUCCUGCUGUUCUCUCAGAUGACCAGGAUGCUGGACAUUCUUCAGGAUUACAUGGAGUACAGAGGUUAUAGCUAUGAACGUCUGGACGGGUCUGUCCGCGGGGAAGAACGGAAUCUAGCAGUGAAGAACUUCAGCAGCCAAGAUAUAUUCGUCUUUCUGCUCAGCACUAAAGCAGGGGGCGUGGGCAUGAACCUCACAGCUGCUGACACUGUCAUUUUUGUGGACAGUGACUUCAACCCUCAAAAUGACUUGCAGGCUGCCGCACGCUGCCAUCGGAUUGGUCAGAACAGGCCUGUGAAGGUGAUCCGCCUCCUGGCCAGAGACACCGUGGAGGAAAUAAUGUUCGCUCGUGCUGUGUCCAAGUUGCACCUCACCAACACUGUCAUUGAAGAAGGUCGUUUCUCUUUACUGGAUCAGGCACAGUCAGCUACAGCAGGACUGCAGCUCAGUGAGAUCUUGAAGUUCGGGGUAGAUAAGCUGCUGUCAUCAGAAGAGAGCUCUAUACAGGAUGUGAAACUAGAGAAGAUCCUCGGUCCGUCACAUGACGGCCAGUGGUUGGAUGAGGAAGACUCCACCUCACUCAGAGAAGAAGAAGAGGAGGAGGAGGAGGAGAACGGCUCUGAAUCUGACGGACAGAACCACAUGUACUACUUUGAGGGCAAAGACUACAGUAAGGACCCCAGCGCUGACGACCACAGGGCCUUUGAUCGUCUGUUGGAGGAGCAGCUCGCCCAGUUUAAGAAAGCUGCAGGAGAAGGACGAACUCUGCGGCACAAAGCUGGAGUGUCAUUGUUAGUAGCCCCUGAGAUUCCAACAAGGAAGAGGAAACCUCUUACUGCGGUGGAGCUGGAGCUGAGGCGUCAGAGGAGGGAGGCGGCUGCUGCCAAAAGAGCCGCGAUCCAGGAGGACAUGAAGAAGAAGCAGCAAGAGAAGAAAUACAAGAAAAAAAUGGCAUGGUGGGAGUCCUGCGGCUACAGAUCACUGUGCCUGCAGUCUGUGGACAGUGAAGAAGACGAGGACGAGGAGGACGACGGCGGCAGCGUGUUCUCCACAGACUCUGACAGCACAGCUAUCCACUAUGUCCUGGGGGAUGUUACUCAUCCGCAUGCUGCUCAGGGAGAUGCUAUCAUCGUCCACUGUGUUGAUGACUCGGGUCACUGGGGCAGAGGAGGCCUGUUUACUGCUCUAGAGGUGCGGUCAGACGAACCACGGAAGCAGUAUGAGUUGGCUGGCAAGAUGAAAGAUCUGGACCUUGGAAACGUGUUGCUCUUCCCUAUCGAUGACAAACAGUCCAGACCAGAUGGCCAGGAUCGACUGGCCCUGAUAGUGGCACAGCAAAGAGACAGAGCCAAUAACUUGUCUGGGAUCCUUCUGUCUGCUCUGGACGGAGGUUUGAAGAAGAUUUAUGCUGCAGCCAAAAGACACAAAGCAAGUGUUCAUCUUCCUCGCAUCGGUCACUCCACCAAAGGCUUCAACUGGUACGGCACCGAGCGACUCGUCAGGAAACACUUGGCCUCCAGAGGCGUCCCCACGUUCAUAUACUAUCACAGCAGAGCUGCCAAGAAUACAGCCACACCUCAGGCAUCCACCUCUGCCACCUCAGCGUUACCGUCCCCCCCCGAGACACAGGUGCUUCACUCUGAUGACGGGACGCAGGCAGAAACCGCGGGCCCCUCUGCUCCUGUCCAGACCCGCGGCCCCGCAGAUCUCCCCAGUUUCAUGACGGGAGUCCGUGUGUUUUUCUACAACCUCCCUGCAUCAGAGAGGAAGAGGCUGGCCCGCUACCUUAUCACGUAUGAUGGAGAUGAGGACGAUAUGAUGAGUGCGGAGGUCACACACAUAGUUGCGGAGGUGGAAAACAACAUCCACUCACUGGUUAGUAUCGUUAUGAGGUUCACUGAUUGUGGUCUGACCUCUGACAUACACUCGCAGAGCAGUUUAUUAGGAACACAUACUAAUACUGGGUAAGUUCCUCCCUUUGCUCUUUAAACUGUUUCAGUUCCUCGUGGCACAAGAUGAUGGAAACUUUCGUCAGGUCAGUUUUGAGCCUGUGUCCACUGCAGCCUGAGAUCUGUUCCUAACUGACAGGUUAACAGAGUGGUUAUCUGAGUUACUGUAGCCUUUCUGUCAGCUCCAACCAGUCUGACCUCUGACCUCUCUCAUCCACAGAUCUGCUGUUCACUGGAUGUUUUUUUUAGUUUUUUGUACCAUUCUGAGUCUGUUGUGUGUGAAAAUCCACAGAGUUCAGCAGUUUCAGAAACAGACCAGCCUGUCUGUCAGUGACAGUAACGUCACGCUCAGAGUCAUGGACUCACAUUUAUCCCCUCAUUCUGAUGUUCGAUGUGAACAUUAACCGAAGCUCCUGAUCUGUGUCUGUGUGAUUUUAUCCUUGGCACUGCUGCCACAUGAUUGGCUGAUUGGAUCAUGUGUUCCUGAUAAAGUGCUCAGAGCUCCAGGAUCUGGUGCGUCAGUACACUCAGGCGGUCCCGGUGCGGAAGGCCUGGCUGGAGUCCUGCUUCUCCAAACAACGAAAAGUCAACACUGCACAGUUCAUACAUGUGCUCAGAUAACGCUCAUCCUCCGGUGUCC